AAAAGGAGUUCCGGAGCAUC
Molecule: microRNA, 20 nt
Filed under: Ananas comosus (pineapple)
Lineage: Eukaryota; Viridiplantae; Streptophyta; Magnoliopsida; Poales; Bromeliaceae
Description: microRNA s1026_c129a
Source: RNAcentral